UUUUCCUACGGGACGCAGCAGUGGGGGAUAUUGCACAAUGGGGGGAACCCUGAUGCAGCGACGCCGCGUGGGUGAAGAAGCGCCUCGGCGCGUAAAGCCCUGUCAGCAGGGAAGAAAAUGACGGUACCUGAAGAAGAAGCCCCGGCUAACUACGUGCCAGCAGCCGCGGUAAUACGUAGGGGGCAAGCGUUAUCCGGAUUUACUGGGUGUAAAGGGGGCGCAGAUGGCGAUGCAAGCCAGGAGUGAAAGCCCGGGGCCCAACCCCGGGCCUGCUCUUGGAACUGCGUGGCUGGCGAGCAGGAGGG
Molecule: ribosomal RNA, 305 nt
Filed under: uncultured bacterium
Lineage: Bacteria
Description: bacterial SSU rRNA
Rfam family: Bacterial small subunit ribosomal RNA
Source: RNAcentral